GACGGAGGAUGCAAGUGUUAUCCGGAAUCACUGGGCGUAAAGCGUCUGUAGGUGGUUCAAUAAGUCAACUGUUAAAUCUUGAGGCUCAACUUCAAAAUCGCAGUCGAAACUAUUGGACUCGAGUAUAGUAGGGGUAAAGGGAAUUUCCAGUGGAGCGGUGAAAUGCGUAGAGAUUGGAAAGAACACCAAUGGCGAAAGCACUUUACUGGGCUAUUACUGACACUGAGAGACGAAAGCUAGGUAGCAAAUGGG
This 252-nucleotide ribosomal RNA is filed under the name uncultured bacterium. RNAcentral describes it as "partial 16S ribosomal RNA". It matches the Rfam family "Bacterial small subunit ribosomal RNA", at positions 524 to 776 of the family's 1533-position model. The record is from RNAcentral.